AGGGUUUGCAGGCAGCUGACAGUCCU
This 26-nucleotide non-coding RNA is filed under the name Rattus norvegicus (Norway rat). The record is from RNAcentral. Lineage: Eukaryota; Metazoa; Chordata; Mammalia; Rodentia; Muridae.